This 69-nucleotide transfer RNA is filed under the name Ictidomys tridecemlineatus (thirteen-lined ground squirrel). Its description in RNAcentral is "Spermophilus tridecemlineatus (thirteen-lined ground squirrel) tRNA". It matches the Rfam family "tRNA". Rfam says of the family: Transfer RNA (tRNA) molecules are approximately 80 nucleotides in length. Their secondary structure includes four short double-helical elements and three loops (D, anti-codon, and T loops). Further hydrogen bonds mediate the characteristic L-shaped molecular structure. tRNAs have two regions of fundamental functional importance: the anti-codon, which is responsible for specific mRNA codon recognition, and the 3' end, to which the tRNAs corresponding amino acid is attached (by aminoacyl-tRNA synthetases). tRNAs cope with the degeneracy of the genetic code in two manners: having more than one tRNA (with a specific anti-codon) for a particular amino acid; and 'wobble' base-pairing, i.e. permitting non-standard base-pairing at the 3rd anti-codon position. Lineage: Eukaryota; Metazoa; Chordata; Mammalia; Rodentia; Sciuridae. The record is from Rfam by way of RNAcentral.
GGGGCUGUGGCUCAGUGGUAGAGCACUUGCCUAGCACGUGUGAGGCACUGGGUUCAAUCUCCAGCACCA